RNAcentral lists this ribosomal RNA (468 nucleotides) under uncultured bacterium. RNAcentral describes it as "partial 16S ribosomal RNA". It matches the Rfam family "Bacterial small subunit ribosomal RNA", at positions 28 to 507 of the family's 1533-position model. The record is from RNAcentral.
GACGAACGCUGGCGGCGUGCUUAACACAUGCAAGUCGAACGGAAAGGCCCUGCUUUUGUGGGGUGCUCGAGUGGCGAACGGGUGAGUAACGCGUGAGUAACCUGCCCUUGACUUUGGGAUAACUUCAGGAAACUGGGGCUAAUACCGGAUAGGAGCUCCUGCUGCAUGGUGGGGGUUGGAAAGUUUCGGCGGUUGGGGAUGGACUCGCGGCUUAUCAGCUUGUUGGUGGGGUAGUGGCUUACCAAGGCUUUGACGGGUAGCCGGCCUGAGAGGGUGACCGGCCACAUUGGGACUGAGAUACGGCCCAGACUCCUACGGGAGGCAGCAGUGGGGAAUAUUGCACAAUGGGCGGAAGCCUGAUGCAGCAACGCCGCGUGCGGGAUGACGGCCUUCGGGUUGUAAACCGCUUUCGCCUGUGACGAAGCGUGAGUGACGGUAAUGAGUAAAGAAGCACCGGCUAACUACGUG